GACGAACGCUGGCGGCGUGCUUAACACAUGCCAGUCGAACGGAAAGGCCCUGCUUUUGUGGGGUGCUCGAGUGGCGAACGGGUGAGUAACACGUGAGUAACCUGCCCUUGACUUUGGGAUAACUUCAUGAAACUGGGGCUAAUACCGGAUAGGAGCUCCUGCUGCAUGGUGGGGGUUGGAAAGUUUCGGCGGUUGGGGAUGGACUCGCGGCUUAUCAGCUUGUUGGUGGGGUAGUGGCUUACCAAGGCUUUGACGGGUAGCCGGCCUGGGAGGGUGACCGGACCCAUUGGGACUGAGCUACGGCACAGACCCCUACGGGAGGCAGCAGUGGGGAAUAUUGCAUAAUGGGCGGAAGCCUGAUGCAGCAAAGCCGCGUGGGGGAUGACGGCAUUCGGGUUGUAAACCGCUUUCGCCUGUGACGAAGCGUGAGUGACGGUAAUGUGUAAAGAAGCACCGGCUAACUACGUG
RNAcentral lists this ribosomal RNA (468 nucleotides) under uncultured bacterium. Its description in RNAcentral is "partial 16S ribosomal RNA". It matches the Rfam family "Bacterial small subunit ribosomal RNA", at positions 28 to 507 of the family's 1533-position model. The record is from RNAcentral.